GUUACAUCUUCCUGGUCUUCAUGCCAUUUAAUCUGGGAUCUUAUCCCAAACAUCUCCAAAGACAUAUAGAGAUUCUCAGUUCUGUUUUCUUCCCACACAGUAUAUGCACAUUCUUCUUUUAGCAAGCUUGGCUACGGUUAAGUUCAGAGUUGAGCUUCAGCCUGCUCUCAGGAGUGCUCAUGCAGUAUUCUAUUCUGAGUGGGGUUUUUGCACGCUGCCUCCAUCCUCCAUGUGCAAGGUUCAGGGUCUCCCACUGACUUUCCCAGAAUUUAUGCACAGAAUUGGGGAUUCCCGGUUACUGUGGGCACUUUAUCUGUUUUCAUGAGCCAGAAAAAUAGUGAACAUUUUGUUGGAGUUUUUCAACUAUCCUUAGGGCAGGGCUGAAAAAAAUGGGUGUUUUUCCCAUGCUAGCUCCUUCCCAGGAGCGGAGUUCUCUUCCAGAGUUUGCUCAUUUUGGUUCCUUAGCUGCAGUCCUGGAGUAGUUAAUUUUAUGAUCUUUGCAACAUUUUUUCUCUCUGUGGGAGAGUAAGUUUCUCACCAGAAUAGGUACUCUUUUGGGUCUACUUUUUUAUUUCAUUGAUUUCAGUCUUGCUUUUACUAUUACCUUCCUUCUAUUUGGGGGUUCUUUCAUUUUUAUUUUUCUAAUCCUUAAGGUUGGAUCUAGGGUCAUUGAUUUUAGAACUUUCUUCUUCUCUUAAAUAAACACCUGGAAUUCACUGUAAAUGUUUUUAAAGAAC
This 737-nucleotide long non-coding RNA is filed under the name Marmota monax (woodchuck). The record is from RNAcentral. Lineage: Eukaryota; Metazoa; Chordata; Mammalia; Rodentia; Sciuridae.